Molecule: RNase P RNA, 381 nt
Filed under: Halobacteriales archaeon QS_5_70_15
Lineage: Archaea; Methanobacteriati; Methanobacteriota; Halobacteria; Halobacteriales
Description: RNase P RNA component
Rfam family: Archaeal RNase P
About the family: Ribonuclease P (RNase P) is a ubiquitous endoribonuclease, found in archaea, bacteria and eukarya as well as chloroplasts and mitochondria. Its best characterised activity is the generation of mature 5'-ends of tRNAs by cleaving the 5'-leader elements of precursor-tRNAs.
Source: RNAcentral
GGCAGAGGGAGCCCGGCCUCCGCUACCGGGGCGACCCGGAAGUGAGGAAAGUCCCCCCACCGUCCGGGCGGGCGACCGGACGCAAGUCCGGAGCGGGAGACCGCUGGCUCUGGAACAGAAACGAGACCGCUCCACGCGACCGAUGAGGCGCGCGAAACGACCCGCGAGGGGAGCGAGCUAACCCGCCGAGGGCUGCGUGGUCGGCGAAGCCGGCCACGGGAUGUGCGAGCGCUCCGCGGCCGCCGAGCCGCCGACCGUGGAGAACGGAUGGAACGGCGCAACCUCGCCGGUGCAAGCCCGUCGCACCAAGGUAGCCCGGACACGCGACGGGUGCUCAGCCGAAUGCCGGGCCGAACAGAAGGGGGCUUACUCCCCUCAGCC